AUCAGCUUGUUGGUGAGGUAAUGGCUUACCAAGGCGACGACGGGUAGCCGGCCUGAGAGGGUGACCGGCCACACUGGGACUGAGACACGGCCCAGACUCCUACGGGAGGCAGCAGUGGGGAAUAUUGCACAAUGGGCGCAAGCCUGAUGCAGCGACGCCGCGUGAGGGAUGACGGCCUUCGGGUUGUAAACCUCUUUCAGUAGGGAAGAAGCCGCAAGGUGACGGUACCUGCAGAAGAAGCGCCGGCUAACUACGUGCCAGCAGCCGCGGUAAUACGUAGGGCGCAAGCGUUAUCCGGAAUUAUUGGGCGUAAAGAGCUCGUAGGCGGUUUGUCGCGUCUGCCGUGAAAGUCCGGGGCUCAACUCCGGAUCUGCGGUGGGUACGGGCAGACUAGAGUGAUGUAGGGGAGACUGGAAUUCCUGGUGUAGCGGUGAAAUGCGCAGAUAUCAGGAGGAACACCGAUGGCGAAGGCAGGUCUCUGGGCAUUAACUGACGCUGAGGAGCGAAAGCAUGGGGAGCGAACAGGAUUAGAUACCCUGGUAGUCCAUGCCGUAAACGUUGGGCACUAGGUGUGGGGGACAUUCCACGUUUUCCGCGCCGUAGCUAACGCAUUAAGUGCCCCGCCUGGGGAGUACGGCCGCAAGGCUAAAACUCAAAGGAAUUGACGGGGGCCCGCACAAGCGGCGGAGCAUGCGGAUUAAUUCGAUGCAACGCGAAGAACCUUACCAAGGCUUGACAUGAACCGGACCGCCGCAGAAAUGUGGUUUCCUCUUUGGGGCUGGUUUACAGGUGGUGCAUGGUUGUCGUCAGCUCGUGUCGUGAGAUGUUGGGUUAAGUCCCGCAACGAGCGCAACCCUCGUUCUAUGUUGCCAGCACGUGAUGGUGGGGACUCAUAGGAGACUGCCGGGGUCAACUCGGAGGAAGGUGGGGACGACGUCAAAUCAUCAUGCCCCUUAUGUCUUGGGCUUCACGCAUGCUACAAUGGCCGGUACAAAGGGUUGCGAUACUGUGAGGUGGAGAUAAUCCCAAAAAGUCGGU
RNAcentral lists this ribosomal RNA (1038 nucleotides) under Arthrobacter pascens. RNAcentral's name for it is "bacterial SSU rRNA". It matches the Rfam family "Bacterial small subunit ribosomal RNA", at positions 240 to 1286 of the family's 1533-position model. The record is from RNAcentral. Lineage: Bacteria; Bacillati; Actinomycetota; Actinomycetes; Micrococcales; Micrococcaceae.